RNAcentral lists this ribosomal RNA (402 nucleotides) under uncultured bacterium. RNAcentral describes it as "bacterial SSU rRNA". It matches the Rfam family "Bacterial small subunit ribosomal RNA", at positions 355 to 774 of the family's 1533-position model. The record is from RNAcentral.
UGGGGGAUAUUGCUCAAUGGGGGAAACCCUGAAGCAGCAACGCCGCGUGAAGGAAGAAGGUCUUCGGAUUGUAAACUUUUGUCUUCUGGGAAGAUAAUGACGGUACCAGAGGAGGAAGCCACGGCUAACUACGUGCCAGCAGCCGCGGUAAUACGUAGGAGGCAAGCGUUGUCCGGAAUUACUGGGUGUAAAGGGUGCGUAGGCGGGUGCGCAAGUCAGAUGUGAAAUCCCGGGGCUUAACCCCGGAACUGCAUUUGAAACUGUGCGUCUUGAGUGGAGGAGAGGUAAGUGGAAUUCCAGGUGUAGUGGUGAAAUACGUAGAUAUCUGGAAGAACACCAGUUGCGAAGGCGGUCUCUUGGUCCGACACUGACGCUGAGGCGCGAAAGCGUGGGGAGCAAACA